Long non-coding RNA from Macaca fascicularis (crab-eating macaque), 3134 nucleotides. Lineage: Eukaryota; Metazoa; Chordata; Mammalia; Primates; Cercopithecidae. The record is from Ensembl.
UUUUUUUUUUUUUUUUGAUACAGGUCUUGCUGUGUCAUUCAGCCUGUAGUGUAGUGGCAUGAUCAUAGCUCACUAUAGCCUCAACUCCCUGGGCUCAAUUGAUCCUCCCACCUCAGCUUCCCAAGUAGCUGGGACUACAGGUGCCAAGUCACCACACUUGGCUAAUAUUUUGCAGUUUUUUGUAUAGACAGGCUUUCCCCAUGUUGCCCAGGCUGGUCUUGAACUCCUGGGCUCAAGUGAUCCACCCCGCUCAGCUUCCCAAAGCUGGAAUUUAGGCAUUACCCACCACACCCAGCCUCGACAUUUUUUUUUUGAACAGGAUGUCUUCCGACAAAACUCACUGAUACAUACUAAAAAUUACCAAAGAAUUCUGAUCAACUGGAUUUUAUUUCAGUUACUCAAAGAUUCCACAAGUGACUCAAACUCUGACCACGCAUUUGGAUAUGGAGAUCUCAAAUGAUGUGACUGUCAAACCUCUAUUCAUCAUAUUUCUUUUUUUGAGAGAGGAUCUCACUCUAUGGCCAUGGCCUAGAUUGGAGGGGAGAUCAUGGCUCACCACAGCCUCGACUUCCUGGGCUCAAAUGAUCCUCCCACCUCCCAAGUAGCUGGGACCACAGGCGCACACCACCACACCUGGCUAACUUUUUGUAUUAUUAUUAUUUUUUUUUAUAAAGACGGGGUUUUGCCAUGUUGCCCAGGCUGAUCCAGAUAUCCUGGGCUCAAGUGAUCCACCUGCCUCGGCCUUCCAAAGUGUUGGGAUUACAGGCGUGAGCCACUGCACCUGGCCAAUUCUUCAUAUUCCAGAGCACAAAUUGCCAAAAUAAUUUAAUCUUAUGAGGUUAUAUUCCCUUUCUUUGCUAUCUUACCCUUACUUGUCUACCUUGUAAUUAAAGGUACAAGUCUUGGGAAAUACCCAUAGGAUUUUGGCUACAAAAAUAAAAGCUGUUGCUUUACUUUUUAUCUUAAAUUUCAUGAGUGAUUUAAAAUUUCAUGUUAUAUGCUAAAGUGAAAAUAUUCUAAAAUUUGUACUUUUCACAUAGAAUUUAUAUCAAGUCAGAUGUUUUAGACAAAUGACAAUUGAUGAGUUAUUUGUAUAAAGUCAUACAUAUUUACUCUAAGGUUAAGUGAAAGGAAGGGUUAACAGUUCUACAGUUAGCUUUUUAUUAAUUUUUUUUAUUUUUAGAUAGGAUCUUGCUCUGUUGCCCAGGCUGGAGUACAGUGAAGAAGACCCUGUCUCAGAAAAAAAGAAAAAAAAAAGGAAAAAAUUCAUUAAAUAUCUUUAAAUGGUUAUGUUUGAUCCCUUUAACAUUAAGAAUUCUUUAAAAUAAUAACUUCUCAUGUAUCAACUGACAUAAAAAAUCCAAUAUUUGCUGUCCUCUACUUUUUGUGUAUAGCUCCACGAGUAUUAAACUUAAGAUUGUUCCACACCUCGUCUGACCAGGAAAAAAAACAAAACAAAACUUAGAUUGCUACGAAACUAUACAAAUCUGCUUCCUUUUCUGUUCGAGUUUUAAAUUGUUUAUAUUUCCCUAGAUAGGGUAUAUUGAACUUCUAUCCAAUAGAAUCAGAAAAAGAAACAUUCAAAUUUACGACAUAAUCAUGUUGGCUAUCAAUCAUAUCAAUAUAAUGGAUAACAUUAAAAUACAUAACUAAGUGGUUUUAAGUAUUACAGCACAAAGUAUGCAAUAAAGAACAAUUAAUGUUAAAGGUAACAAAGAGCUCAAAGUAGCAAAUUUUCUAAAAGGAAAUUUAGCAAAUAAUUUUAGCUAUUUAUCAUUAUAAAUAACUCUUAUACCCUAAAAGUUGUUAAUUACAGAUCUAAAAGGAAUACUCCAGGUUAUCAUCAAUUUAUGGUAGACAAUAUGGUAUUUAAAUGUAUUAAAUGCCAUACAUUUAAUGAAGAUUCAUUACAUAUUAAAUUUGAAUUUUUUUUUCAUUUCUAGUGAUCAAACCUAGAGAGGCUAGUGAUUUGCUGAGACUGAAAUUCAGGUCUCCUAUCUCAUAAUGGCUUUUUUGUUUUUAUUUUAACUAUAAUGUAUUUCGGGUGUCCUGGUUCCAGUUUAAACAUGAUAGUGAUGACAAUGGAGUUUCUGACAACAAAAAGUAUUGUUAUAAUGCAUUGUUUUUUAUUAUAAAAGCUAUGAUUAGGGAUGACUUUUGAAGUAUCUAUCUUCUUUCUUUAAAAUACACAUUUAAUACAUGCUCACUACAGAAAAAGUAAAAAUUAUAGAUAAACAAUAACAAGCAGUUUUAAACCUAACAAUAACCAUUGUUAAAACUCUUAGUGUUAGGCUGGACAUAGUGGCUCACAUCUGUAAUCUCAGCACCUUGAGAAGUUGAGGUGGAAAGAUCACUUGAGACCAGGAGUUUAGUACCAGCCUGGGCAGCAUAGCUAGACCCUAUCUCUACAAAAAAUUUAAAAAUUAGCUGGGCAUGGUGGUGCAUAUUUGUAGUCCUAGACACCCAGGAGGCUAAGGUGGGAGGAUCGCUUGAGCCCAGGAGUUUGAGAUUGCAGUGAGCUAUGUUCGCACCAUCACACUCCAGCCUGGGUGACAGAGCUGUCUGUUUUAGAGACAGACCUUGUCUCUAAAAAAGCAAGCAAACAAAAAAGAACAGAUGUUGUCCAUCCUGGAUAUUUGACUAACCCAACUAAACAUUUCAUUUUUAAAAAAGAACAGUAUCAGCCAGGCAUGGUGGCUCACACCUGUAAUCCCAGCACUUUGGGAGGCUGAGGCAGGCGGAUCACUUGAGGUCAGGAGUUCGAGACCAGCCUGGCCAACAUGGUGAAACCCCGUUUCUACUAAAAAUACAAAAAUUAGCAGGGCACGGUGGCGUGCACCUGUAAUCUCAGCUACUUGGAAGAAUCUCUUGAACUCAAGAGAUGGAAGGUGCAGUGAGCUGAGAUCACACCUCUGCACUUCAGCCUGGGUGACAGAGCAAGAUGCCAUUUCAAAAACAAACAAACAAAACCAGUAUCUUUGAGAUUAUAUACUCAAUGUAAUCACAUAGAUUCUUGUUCUUCCUUAUAUGAUGACAAAGAGUCAAGGGAUAUUAUCUAAUAUCUUUUUCUCCAAGAAAUAUCAGGAAAUCACUUUUUAUCACUAAAGAUGCAUAACCAUUUGGUAGUUUUUUUU